ACCAUUUUCUUCCUCUUCUUCUUCCUUCGCUAGGGCACAACAACAACAACACUACAGCAUCCUAAAUUUCGUUCUCUUUCCUCUUCUCCUUCUGAACCUCUCUCCCUCGUCGGUUCUCACACUCACGAUAUUGUAUCUAUAAGUUUUUCUGAUCCCUUCGAACUUUUUGUUGACUUCUCAUGUUGGUUUUUAGGUUCUUGAUUUUCCUUCCAUGCCCCUCUAAUGGCAUCGUUCUACUAUUCGGUAGGAUGAGAAGCUCUUAGGUUUUGCUAAUUUUUUUAGUGCUUAUCGUUGGAUUAAGAAAAUUUGGGUGUCAAUGAGCUUCGUGGCAUGGACGAAUAACGCGAAGAUGUCAAGGACGUUGUCCGUUAUUUGUUCAAGGAAGUAGAUUUUCGGAUUGAAAAUUGUGGGCUUCAAUCUAGGUUUUACAAGAAUCCAUUGGAGCAGUGAAGCCAUAUUAGAGCAAUUGAUUGAUUUAUAGGCCUUUUUGUAGGUUUGGUAGCAAAUUUUUUGUUGUUAAAUAGUUUGUUGGUACCAAAACAUGUAUGUUUAUUUUCUCAUUGUACAAACCAUUUACCAACAAUUGUACAAAUAUUACAAAGUGUAUGUUAACGUAUAUAUAUUAAAGCGUUGACUGUUUGUUUUCA
Cucumis melo (muskmelon) is the source of this 647-nucleotide long non-coding RNA. RefSeq lists it as uncharacterized. The transcript has 3 exons. Lineage: Eukaryota; Viridiplantae; Streptophyta; Magnoliopsida; Cucurbitales; Cucurbitaceae. The record is from RefSeq and is a predicted model, not a curated record.